CAUGUAGGCGGUCUGUUAAGUCUGGUGUGAAAGUCCGGGGCUCAACCCCGGAAGUGCAUUAGAUACUGGCCGACUUGAGUAUGGGAGAGGAAGGCGGAAUUCCGAGUGUAGGAGUGAAAUCCGUAGAUAUUCGGAGGAACACCAGUGGCGAAGGCGGCCUUCUGGACCAAUACUGACGCUGAGAUGCGAAAGCGUGGGGAGCGAACAGGAUUAGAUACCCUGGUAGUCC
Molecule: ribosomal RNA, 229 nt
Filed under: uncultured bacterium
Lineage: Bacteria
Description: partial 16S ribosomal RNA
Rfam family: Bacterial small subunit ribosomal RNA
Source: RNAcentral